GGUUCGAAUCCUGCACGACCCACCAGUUUUAACAUCAAACUCAGAUGUUAAGCGUGAAGGAUAACGUUGCGCCAGCAACGGCCCGUAGGGCGAGCGAAGCGAGUCAUCCUGCACGACCCACCA
This 123-nucleotide small RNA is filed under the name Escherichia coli. RNAcentral describes it as "partial RtT sRNA". It matches the Rfam family "RtT RNA", at positions 40 to 130 of the family's 130-position model. From Rfam's summary of the family: This family represents a bacterial cis-regulatory element known as RtT RNA. The exact function of RtT is unknown although it is thought that it may be involved in changing the cellular response in relation to amino acid starvation. Lineage: Bacteria; Pseudomonadati; Pseudomonadota; Gammaproteobacteria; Enterobacterales; Enterobacteriaceae. The record is from RNAcentral.